Molecule: unclassified non-coding RNA, 237 nt
Filed under: plant metagenome
Description: partial contains small subunit ribosomal RNA, internal transcribed spacer 1, and 5.8S ribosomal RNA
Source: RNAcentral
UUUCCGUAGGUGAACCUGCGGAAGGAUCAUUAAUGAGAACUAAGGGUAGUAGUCUCGGCUACUACUCUGAACACUCCACCCUUUGUUUAUAUUACCUUUGUUGCUUUAGCAGGCCCGCUCUCGAGCCGCCGGCACCUGCUGGCUAGUGCCUGCUAAAGAACCUAAAACUCUUGUUAAUAAUAUUGUCUGAGUACUAUAUAAUAGUUAAAACUUUCAACAACGGAUCUCUUGGUCCUG